Molecule: ribosomal RNA, 253 nt
Filed under: uncultured bacterium
Lineage: Bacteria
Description: partial 16S ribosomal RNA
Rfam family: Bacterial small subunit ribosomal RNA
Source: RNAcentral
UACCGAGGGGGCGAGCGUUGUUCGGAAUUACUGGGCGUAAAGGGCGCGUAGGCGGCCAACUAAGUCGGACGUGAAAUCCCCUGGCUCAACCAGGGAACUGCGUCCGAUACUGAUUGGCUUGAAUCCGGGAGAGGGAUGUGGAAUUCCAGGUGUAGCGGUGAAAUGCGUAGAUAUCUGGAGGAACACCGGUGGCGAAGGCGGCAUCCUGGACCGGUAUUGACGCUGAGGCGCGAAAGCCAGGGGAGCAAACGGG